UACGAAGGGGGCUAGCGUUGCUCGGAAUCACUGGGCGUAAAGGGCGCGUAGGCGGAUCUUUAAGUCGGGGGUGAAAGCCCAGGGCUCAACCCUGGAAUUGCCUUCGAUACUGGAGAUCUUGAGACCGGAAGAGGUAAGUGGAACUGCGAGUGUAGAGGUGAAAUUCGUAGAUAUUCGGAGGAACACCAGUGGCGAAGGCGGCUCACUGGUCCAUUACUGACGCUGAGGUGCGAAAGCGUGGGGAGCAAACAGG
Molecule: ribosomal RNA, 253 nt
Filed under: uncultured bacterium
Lineage: Bacteria
Description: partial 16S ribosomal RNA
Rfam family: Bacterial small subunit ribosomal RNA
Source: RNAcentral